RNAcentral lists this long non-coding RNA (674 nucleotides) under Bos taurus (domestic cattle). RNAcentral describes it as "long non-coding RNA NONBTAT011587". The record is from RNAcentral. Lineage: Eukaryota; Metazoa; Chordata; Mammalia; Artiodactyla; Bovidae.
GUUAUCCUCACAUCUCAAAGGCUUUUAUUUAAAUGGUACUUCAGGGAAUCUUGCCAAAUUAUUAUAAGUAGUUUUGUUUGGGGGUAUUUUUUGUUUGUUUUCCAGAAAACAGGAAAAGAUAGUUAACUUGACUCUUAUCCCGAGUUCCCUGAGUAUCUAUGAUUAUUGUAAUGUCAUCCAUGAAGAACUCAAUUCACAUUUUCCUCUGUACUUCUGGAAAACUGUAUCUCUGUAAUGUAGAGAAAGUUGAGAAUAGAAUCUCAGGUAUGUUAGGAUAACUCUUAGAAUAAGGAUCAACAACAAAUCAUCUGAAUAUCUUGACUUAAACAGAGAAAUGUGUUUUAAACGUGUGAAAUGAGGCCCCCACACUACAGUGACUACUAGGUUUCAACAUGAUCUUAUGUUUUAAGUUUUGACUAUAUCAAAAAAUAGUCCAAUUAAACAUAAAAUAUCAGGGUUUUUCUCAAAUACAUUAUGUUUUUAGGAUUUAUUCCCCCUUCCUUCAAAGUCAUGUUCAAAGUAUUUCAGGCUAUUUGCUUUUUACCCUAGAUAGGUUUUUAAGGGUCUUUUUUUGGUUCUUUUUUAAGAAAAAUAUUUUUGAAGUAGUUGUGUUACAGCUCACUCAGAUUCUAAUCACUAGUGUUAGGUCCACCAUUAUAGUACACUGAAAUGAC